CGCCCAUGGUGAAUCAGUGACACUAACCACCCUGAAUCCAUAUGACCGAUCUCUUUCGAGAGUGAGGCGUGUGGUGGAUGCGUGGGACCUGAUCUGGUAGUAGCCAAGCGAU
This 112-nucleotide ribosomal RNA is filed under the name Rhodococcoides fascians. Its description in RNAcentral is "Rhodococcus fascians 23S ribosomal RNA". Lineage: Bacteria; Bacillati; Actinomycetota; Actinomycetes; Mycobacteriales; Nocardiaceae. The record is from RNAcentral.